UGGGGAAUAUUGGACAAUGGGCGAAAGCCUGAUCCAGCCAUGCCGCGUGUGUGAAGAAGGUCUUCGGAUUGUAAAGCACUUUAAGUUGGGAGGAAGGGCAGUAAGCGAAUACCUUGCUGUUUUGACGUUACCGACAGAAUAAGCACCGGCUAACUCUGUGCCAGCAGCCGCGGUAAUACAGAGGGUGCAAGCGUUAAUCGGAAUUACUGGGCGUAAAGCGCGCGUAGGUGGUUCGUUAAGUUGAAUGUGAAAGCCCCGGGCUCAACCUGGGAACUGCAUCCAAAACUGGCGAGCUAGAGUAGGGCAGAGGGUGGUGGAAUUUCCUGUGUAGCGGUGAAAUGCGUAGAUAUAGGAAGGAACACCAGUGGCGAAGGCGACCACCUGGGCUCAUACUGACACUGAGGUGCGAAAGCGUGGGGAGCAAACAGU
This 429-nucleotide ribosomal RNA is filed under the name Pseudomonadota bacterium. RNAcentral's name for it is "Proteobacteria bacterium partial 16S ribosomal RNA". It matches the Rfam family "Bacterial small subunit ribosomal RNA", at positions 355 to 776 of the family's 1533-position model. Lineage: Bacteria; Pseudomonadati; Pseudomonadota. The record is from RNAcentral.